CGCAAAAAAAGGGGACGGAGGGAAUCAAGUCGUUUGUGCCGUCAACGACUUAAUUCCCUCCGUCCCCUUUUUUCUUC
This 77-nucleotide non-coding RNA is filed under the name Stenotrophomonas sp. AG209. Lineage: Bacteria; Pseudomonadati; Pseudomonadota; Gammaproteobacteria; Lysobacterales; Lysobacteraceae. The record is from RNAcentral.